Molecule: long non-coding RNA, 17085 nt
Filed under: Brassica rapa (field mustard)
Lineage: Eukaryota; Viridiplantae; Streptophyta; Magnoliopsida; Brassicales; Brassicaceae
Description: long non-coding RNA (BRAP_LNC005655)
Source: RNAcentral
GAAGGACCAAGCCGAUGUGCUACUUGCAAUAAACGGGUUGGUUUGACUGGAUUCAAAUGUCGCUGUGGUGACCUCUUCUGUGGGACGCACCGUUAUGCAGACAUACACAACUGCUCCUUCAAUUACCAUGCCGCUGCGCAAGAAGCUAUAGCUAAAGCAAACCCGGUUGUGAAGGCAGAAAAGCUUGACAAAAUCUGAAGAACUCAAAACUCAAACACCAAAGUGAUAGACUACGACCUCCUUAGGAGCAUUUAGAAUUGGAAAUGAAGGUUUAGAAUUUUACAUAUUUAUUAUUAUUGCCUACUAAGGUGUUUACUCCUAUAAGAGGGAGACAUUUGAUUCUAAUAAAAUCAUCCAUUAAGAGAUCAAAGAAACGGAGUUGUCUCCUCUAAAUCUAAUAAACGAGGAGUUUGUCAGCUUCUUGAAUAAAUAGCAUAUUGAUAGAUACUGCCCAGAGGCGUCUAUCACAAAGUUCCCUUUCUCCUAUCUGCGCCUGAUUCAAGGUGUCCCUCAUGUUAACUAAGGUUUAUAAAGUAUACUUCCAAAUAUAAACCAUUACUAGAUCCAAGCGUGGGUUUUUUGGAUUAUAUUAUAAUACAAAGUCUUAUUAUAUCAAAAAAAUAUAAUUUUGAACAGUUAUAUAAUUUAUGAAUUAGUUUAUUUGAGACUUUAUAUGUACAUUUUUACGUAAAUUUCUUUUAGGCAUGAGAAUUAUAUCCGGAUAAAAAAAACAAACUGAAUCGACCCGAAAAUAUAGGUUUAGUUCAGGUCCAGAGAAGAUAACCUAUUGGGUUUUUGGACCUGUAAGUCUUUGUUUGAGUCAAUGUACUAUUCUAGACCCGAUCAUAAAUAUGUUGUGUUUAUUAGAUAUAUUUGGAUAUUUCGAAUAUGUUUCCGGUAUUAUGAAUAUUUUUUUUAAGUUUUGGUUUACGAUUAUAGUUUUUGAUUUCACGUAAAUUUUCAAAUUUAAAAAAAAAAUUGGGUAUUUUUUAAGUUCAUCGUGUCAGAUUUUGAAUAAGAUUUUGAAUUUUUAGGUAUUUGAAUUUUUUUGGUAUUCGUUAGGAAUUUCAAAUAUUUUUUCAGAUUUUUUAGAUAUUUUGAUAUUUUUUUUAGGAUCCUAAAUACCCGAACAUAUGUGGACCCAUUAUGUCCAUAUGAAGUCUAACAACCUUUUGAUAUAGAUUUUUAACGUUAUUGUACAAAAACAUGGUUGAUAAAAUAUUUUUCUGAGUAAAAGUAUCAUAAGGAAUAAUAUUAGGAUCUGUUAAAAAUAUUUAAAAUAUUGUAUGGUUAGAAUGAUUAAUGGUAUUACUAAAAAAAAAGUUAUACAUGACUCCAACAACUUUUUUAUAUUAGAUUUUUAAGAUUAUUUCUCUUUUAAUAGUAUUGAUUCGUUUUUAAAUGAAAAGUAUAUAAAAGUAUAAUAUCUAGACCAAUAAUUUUCAAAAUCGUAAAUAAUCAAUACUGAUAUCGUGAAGUCGGGUUAAUUUUAACAGAACCAAUGAAUUUAUUUUGUGAAGGUAACAUGAAAUAUUCAGAAAAUUCAUUUUUAAAUAUGAAAAUAUCUAUCAAAACUAUAGACGGUUGAAAGUUUAGCAUAUGAUAUGAGAUUUUAGUAGAAACGUUUAUAUAUGAUAUGAUUACUUUAUUAUAAAGUAAAGAUGAAGUUAGAAUGUACACAUAUAUGUCAUGUAACCUCUCUUGAUUUAAAUCAUAUAUUAUAUGAUAAAAAUGAUAAUAUAAAACAUUAGUUUCAAUGCUUUUACGAUUAAAAAUCAAAAUGGUAAAUAUAGUAAUAAUAGUGAUUAAAAUUUAGGAGUGAAAUUUGAAUAAAUAAAGGAAUUGAAUAAAUUAUUAUUAGAGAAAUAUAUGGUAACAUAUUGUUAGUCUAAAUUUAAGGUAAGACAAAAAAAAAUAAUAAGAUAAAUGAAAGGGUCCAAACAACUUUUAUAGGUAGAUUUUUUAAGACUCCUUCCCUUUUAAUAGUAUUGACUAGAUUUUGAUCCGCGCUUCGAAAGCGCGGAUUUUUUAAAACUAUAAACAUAGUUUUAUAUGAAUUAGUAUUUCGGAUUGUUGUACAUUAUUAUGUUACGAAAUCAUAUUAUAUUGAAGCAGAUAAUCUUAAAAAAAUAUAAAUUAGGUUAUUUAGUUUUUUGUAUAUACAUUUUUAUGUAACUCUUUCUAAGUCUGUGCAUUUUAUCUGAUCCAAAACAACUGAGAUCUACCCGAAAAUAUAGGUUCGGUUCGGGUCCAUGGGAAAGGUACCUAUUGGUUAUUUUAUAACACCCGUAGGUUUUGACUUUGUUCCAAUCAGACAUGAAACUCGAUCGGAUACCAAAAGUACUCAGAUUAUUUUUGUAUAUUAGGUAUGUUUGGGCAUUUCAUAUAUCUUUUGGUAUUACGAAUAUUCUUUUAAGUUUCAGGUUUGUGUUUCUGGUUAUAGUUUCAGGGUUUACGUAGAAUUUCAAAAUUUUAAGAACAUAUUUCGCGUAAUCAGAUUAAAUUUUAGGCAUUUUUGGUUUCGCAGAUCAGAUUUUGAGUUAAAUCGGGACUUUUCGAGUAUUUGAAUAUAUUUCGGGUAUUUACUGAUUUUCAUGUAUUUUUUGGAUUUCAUAUAUUUGCAGGUUUACUCGUACUUGGGGUCCUAGAUAUCCAAACCUACCAGGAUCCACUAUAUACCUGAAAAUUAUAUGUAUUUUUAUCUGGAUCCACUACAAACCUACCUAGAUCCACUAUAUACUUGAAAAUUAUAUGUAUUUUACGACUAUUUAAAUUAUGGAUCCAAACCAACUCAUACCCGAAAGAAACCGAUUCAAAUCUAAACCAAAAAAAAAAUUGACAUCACCAAAAAAUUAUUAUAUUUUAGAUUCUCAAUAAAUAUAGCUUAAAACAUUUAUAACAUUUAUAAUAUUUUUGAUGCUUAAUAUAUGAGAGUAAUGAUAAUAGCUCCUUAUUAAAUGGGAAGAAAUGCUAUAAUAGCUAUCGGGAUUUAUCACAUUUACCGUACAUGAUAUAUAUAGAAGUUAGAUGAAAAUAUGGAACGUAUAAGUUAUGAUCUUUUACGAAUCGGGAUAUGUUGUUACGCAAAAGACUUAAAAAUAUCUUCUAGGAUAUUAAACACUAAUUCUUAACUUGACUGUAUACAUAUUCCACAAACAUUAGAAUACUAUGAUAAUUAAUAUAUAUAUAUAUAUAUCAGUAUGUAUAGUAAACCGGUUUGGGUAUUAUCAACAUAUACUAUGUUAUAAAUAUGUUUAUUCUAAAAUUAAUAAUAUGUUUGGUUUAAACAUAUUCGUUCGUGAAUGGGGAUGUUCUUAUAUAUGGCUUGAAUCUUAAUUUCAAAAUUAAAUUGGAAGUCAGUUCGAUCCAAAACGGAAUUGACGUUUUAUCAUAUGUUACAACACAUCACUUGUACAAUUAGGAAUUAUAUAUUACAAAUUUAUAAGUGCUACAAAAAUGUCAUUUUAUCAUAGUAUAUUAUCGAUAAUAUAAACCUCAAACUAUAUGUAAAUAGUGUUCAGGAAAGCUUUAAAUUCAUUAAAGUAUUUCAUGGUGUUUUCAAUUUCGUAUAUAGGUGUUGUGAUAAUAUACGUAUGUAAUAUAUAUGGUUUGAGUAAACCACUAAAUUUGAUAUGUAUCUCAUGUUACCUUAUAUUGUUAGAGAAAUAUUAGGUAAGACCAAAAAAUAAUUAACUAAUAAAUAGGUCCAACAACUUUAUAUAAGUAAAUUUUUUCAGAAUAAUUUUCUUUUAAUAGUAUAGAUACAUAGUUUAAAACAAAGUACAAGAACAACGUUAUAAAUAUCAAAUUCUGAAUAAUAUAUUUGCUCAUUUUGACACAACCAAAUACACAUAAUAAUAAAAAACAUUUGUACGAGUCAAACGCUAGAUAUAUUGUUCGAUCACCACAUAAACACAAUGGUGAUCGUUUUAUUUUACAGAAAACAAACCCCAAAAUGUUCACCAGGACAUAAAACUACGUUUUUACCAUACAAUGAAAAAACGAUUUUAGGAAUCAUAGGAAACCAGAACAAUUUAAAACCGAAUGACUUCCUAAAAUGUCUAUAUACAUAUAUUUUAUCAAAAAGUCACUUAAUGCAGGAACAAAACAUCUCUUCUCUGUACAAAAUUUUCCUCCUACGUAUCCCCUUCCGUGAUGAGAGCUACAACUACUGCUUAUACGUUCACCUACCUGAAAAGAAAAGUCCAGGUAAGUGAAAAAAAAAACUCAAAUAAUCCAGGAAGGCAUAUUAUUAACUGAAAACACACAAGCUAUGUUAAAUUAUUAGAUGACCAAAAUAUGAAAACGGGAAGUGGUUGUUGGUCUCAGAUGAAACAGAAAGCGAGCUAUAGACAAGAAACACUUUAGUACACUAACAGAUGACGAUGAUAGAGAAGUAAGUUCAUACUUGUAUUUUCUGGUCCUGUUCAAUUGAUUCCCUUCAGGUUGAGGAGCUUUUUCCACCACAUAAGAAGCAAUCAAGGUAUCCAGUUUUACCAACCAGAGAGCAAUCGCAGAAGUUGUUCGAGGCAUAGAAGGGAAGCUAGUUAUAAUUUCUCCCUCCUCCUCCUCACCAAAGUGCCAUAACCAAUCUUCAUUGAUUGCUCCAACAAAGUCCCCAAUCACCUUCAGACCAUGAUUUAGCAACAAGAGGUAAGUUAGAGAACAAUCAAUUUCGGACUAAAAUAAGGAAAAAGGGAGCUUUGCAUAAUAAAAAUGAAAACCUGCGUAAUUUCAGACAACGUUGAGCUUCGUCGAAGCCUUUUUGCCCAUAACCUAUGAGCUGACUUUUUCCAUGCACCAAUCAAGGCAUCUUCGGGCAUUGCAGACUGAAAAAUGUUAACCAAGAAAGGGAGCAGUUUCUUAACACAAACCAAGAAAGACGGAAAAGAUUAAAAAUAGUAAAGCAAAAACGACUAUCUCGACAGACCUCAAUGGCAUACACUGCAGCCUUUAGUGAUUGCAACUGGGAAGAACGAACUUUGUGAUCUGGAAAUGAAUCACUACUCUCUUCAUUCUUCCUGCUGCAUGUGGCUUCAUGAAUCGCAUAUCUUUCUUCAAGAUCUAUAUCAAGCUCAAAGGUAGCAUGGCAAAUCUUGCAGUGCUUCUCAUCUCUCCAAUACAAAUCAUGACAACUCUUACACCUAGUAAGCGAAUCAAGGUAGGAUCUUCGGCUGUGUUUAACAACAUUGAGAUUAAGAUAAUAUUUAUCCCAUAUCCAUUCAUCAAACUCCUGAACAAGGCUCCAUAAUAGGCUGUUGCCCCGCUUCUCAAAUACUAUAGCUGCUUGUUGAUCAUUGGCAAUCUCAUUGAGACAUAGGUUGUUGUUGUCUAUAUCAGAAACCGGUGAAGAAGAACUGUCCUCUCUGACUACAUGGUCAAUUCUUCUUAACAUGGCUUGACAGAGAAAACUUUCUCGUUUCUCCAAUGACUCAAUAAGCCGAGCUUCCCGUCUACCCCUAUCGUCCAACACUGACAACAGUGCCCGCAAAGCCUGCACCAAGCCAAAAAAUAGGGAAAUGUUAGGCAAGGAAUCAAUCCAACUUACACAAUACAAGUUUUCAUUUAAUUUGUGCACAAUGACAUCACCUCCUUGUGGCUGAUAACUUCCCAGUGACCAUCUUCAGAAGAUUCAAAGUAGACACACCUAUGACCAGGGUCAUUCGCGUUGCAUGGGCCUAAGAAAAGCCAGUACCUGUUGAACCUACGGUCAGAACCAAGGUAUACAGAUUGCAUAGGGUGAACAUUGUCUCCAGCGAGCUUUGCAAAAUCAGCCCCCACAAUUGAUGAUGAAUCAACUGGAUGAGAAUCAGACGGUUUAGAUAGCUUUUCGAUUCGCUCUCCUCCAUGGACCCAUGAUACGCGUGGAUGAUUAGAGGAUGAUGCUCUCUUGAUUUUUCCACCAGAACCAUGACUAUAGAUACUAGGGGCACAGUCAACCAUAGCUCUGGGUAAAUCCUCCAUUCUAAUAGUGGAACCAGAACUAAGAAGAUCAAUCAAAGCGAUGAAAACAUCUAACUUCUCUUCAAUGCUUAAGUCUGAAUAUUCCCCCUCCAUUAGCCCCAACAACCAUGCUUCUCCAGGAUGGCUUUCAUCAAUCUCACUGCAUACUUCCAACACCUGCUUCCGCCUUUUCCUACACUUGGCUUUUCGAAAUACAAAACUUUCUGAAACACGCCCCAACUCAUCACCAGAUUCAUCAUCAUCAACACUUCCAGACUCGCCCGAAUCAGACUCAUGGUCCUCAGAGAAACAAUUAACACGUGCACGAUAUGUAGAUUCAGAUAUUUUUUCGAAAAGUGUAAUAUCACUUGCCAGCGUUGAACAUAUUGAACGCUCUCGUUCUUCUUCUGAUGCAGUUGCAAGAUUCAGCGCAGCAACCUAUAACAUUAACCAGCAGCCUAUUCUAUUAGAUAUAAUAAUCUUAGGAUUUACUAACAAGAAGCUGAUAAUAAUUUCAGAAAAAACUACCUCUACUGCUGCAUUUGCUAACUCGGAUAUUUUCAAGCCAUUUUUGCCUCCUUGCUCGUUAAGCAUUCUAAAUAAUUCACCCUUUAAUGUUCCAAGACGGAGGCCAUACUUUUUCAUGAGUCUCCUUUCCUACAGGAGGUAACAUCAACCAAUAAUGCGUCAGAAAAUUAAAGAAAAAACCUAUAAACGACAUAGAACAUGCACAGGAGGAUAUAAAAGAAAAUUGAGCAAGAACCUUCAGUAUUCCACACGCAACUAACCCAUCUUCAAGAAUAAACAAAGCAUGCUAGUAUAUGGAACUUUGAUACGAAUGAAAAGGACAAGAGAUGUAGCAUUUGUAGGCAUUUCAUGUGAUGAACUAUAUUUUCGGUGCCAAGCAAAUAGAGUAGACAGAUGGUUGUUUCAACGAAUCAAAAGGGUUGCACGAAAUCAGCACCUUACUUAGUUCCUCUGAUUGACCAGCAGCCCGCUUUACAGAACCAAAACCAGCUGCAACCAAUAUCUGACGCAAUAUCUCCGCCCAUGUAAGAGAAUUUAAUGAAUCCUUCCACAUAUCAAGAAUAAGAAUUUGGCUCUCCACCUAAAAAAAAAAUAUCAUGGAGAAUGUCAAAACCUGUCUCUCAAACGGAAGUAUGCCAAGGAAAAAAAUAGAUAGCUCCACAUACCGACUGCAGCAGGGCUAGAAACUUGCAUGAUAUACUCAAGGUUGAAAAAGAUCCCCUUUGCAGCUCGGUUUCAACAUCAAGCAGAAGCAACUUCAGCAGGGAAAGAUGAAUUUUACCAAGGAGCAAGGAGUCCUGAAAGAGGAAAUGCAAUAUGUUAUUUUAAGAAACAGUUUCCUUCAGCAACAUAAGAGAUUUGACUAUUUGUUAUUAUCAAAUAAGAGAGAGCACCUUAUCAUGAAAUGCCCGUGUGAACUCGUCGAUAGUGAAGGGACAUAUAUCAAGAGUUACUGAAUAAGUAUACAGGAAAUGGACAACCUGUCAACACAUAUGUAGUACUAGGUCAGCUCCAAGAAAUGUAAUUUUAAGAAGAAAUCAAUCACGAAGUGCACACCUUAAAAAGUUUCUUGACAGACUCUGGAGAAGAAUUCCAUGGAUGCAAAGCAAAAGGCAGCCUCAUGCCAACAGAACUUGGGGGAAACUUGGGCAAUAAAUCUGGAAACAAACAACAAAAUAGAUGUAAAAAAAGGUACUUGAGAACGAAAACUCACUCUCCCUAGGAUUGAACCAAGACACAUACCUUUGCAUAGAAAACAAGAUCCACUAGUAGCAGUAUGGCAUGAACAAGUUAACGGAGGAUUCACUAGCCCUUCCUGUCUCUCCAAUUCCUCGUCAUCAACUAGUAUCGACAUUGUUUGACAGGUUUCUUUAAAUACCUCCCCGAGCUCACAUUUCUCACUAAAUCCCACCGUCUCAUCUUUGUUUAAUUCUUCGGUGGUCUGCAGCAAGCAAGCAAGAGUCAAUCAAAUCAUAUUUGUUGGCUUAUUGAAUCUAAGCUACCUCUGUAUUUAUAGAAUUCCUCUUCUUUUCCGUCGGCUUCUUCUUCUUCUUCUGCUUCUGCUUCUGAAGAAAGCAAAACAAUUGCAAUAAACAAUAAGUUCAAAAAGGCAAUAAAAGAGGUAAAAACAAGUAGUACCAGUAUAGAUGCUAAUUGUGUUUUGGUCUUCUUGGGAUUGCUUUGAGCUAAGGUUGCUCUUUCGUGGCUAUUUGGAUUCAUAACACGCCACGCUGUCAUCAAACCCUUGCCAAUACCAUAUUGUUUCUUCUUUACAACAACGCAAUCAUCUUGACUAGUGUGCUUCUCGGAAACCUAAAUAAAAGAAAAAUAAAUAAAGAUCAAAGAGUAACUAACCUUUCUCUUUUGCAAUAAUGAAAGAUGAUUCCACUAACCUUUCUCUUUCUCCCCACUCUCUGUUGAUCAAGAGAUGAUGAUGAAGGAGGAAGAUGGUCAAAUUGAAAACCAAGUGAGGGGCCGUCUUUUCUAAAAACCUUAGCCAAAAUGUACUGUGAGGUCAACAGCUUUUGACAAUUGAUCUUCCGAAGAGCAGAGCGAGGAAUCUUCGCCCUCACCGCCGCCGCCACGGAGGAUUUCUUUCUACUUGUUCUUCUCCUCUCAUCCAUUUUCUCUGCAUUCAUCACAUGUAAGGUAGACACGAACUGCCCCUGUUCAAACACGGGGGAGAUACGACUGCGCCGGUAAGAGGACCGCCGCGAUUUCGGAUCGACUCGCUCUGAUCUUCACCUUCUGUAUCAGAAAAAUCUGAUGCUACUUUUGUUUAGAUAUAUCUUUAGAAAUGAGAUUUUGUGGAGGGUUUUAGGGUUUUGGAGGAGAUAGAAAUGAAUACAAAAUGACUCUUUCACCCUUCUUUAAACCUUUUACAAAAAAAAUAAUAAUAAUAAGUAUAACAAAUUUGACGUUCGUGCCCGGGUAAAGUAAAGAGUGAGAGAUUGGAACAGCCACUGCACUAACUAAAUUCUGGCUAACCAGACUAACUCUUUUUAGUAAUUAACCUUAAACCUAUAAAAAAAAUUUCAAAAACUCCCCACAAUUAAUUCACGUUUAAUCUCCGAUUAACUGGUUCAACGCUUGGUAUCAAAAUAAAAAGCUUCCAGAACUUGAAGUUAAGCUCGCGAUUUCCUCUUCGUAUCCAAUAAAAUUUAAAAAAAAUUGAGAACUCUGAUGUUCGUCAAUCAAAACCAGGCGCAUGACACUCGACGCAUUCGUCAACGUCAAAUCAUCCCCUUAAUAAAUAAAUAAAAAAUCCAAAUAUCUCCCGAAAUAUAUUUACACCAAAAAAGUAUCAAAAUAAAAUAAAAAGAUAAAUGAUAAAUAUGUUUGUUUUAAGGGCAAUUGCAAUAAUAGCACUUUUUGAAGUUUCUGUCUCAAAAAUAGCACUAGAAGGAGAAACUCACAAAAAUAACAUUCAUUAAAGGGUAAAAUAUCUCUAAUACCCUUGAUUUAAAAUUAAAUAAAUACAUAAAAAUAAAUAAAAAUAAAUAAAAUAAAAAUAAAAAAAGAAAAAAAAAUAAAUUAUUUUUAUAGUUUCAGAUUAUAUGUUUUCAGAUUCGAAAUUUUUAUAAAUUUUUUUUUGAAAUUUUUUUUGAAUUUUUUUUUAUUUUUUUUUCAAAUUUUCUUUUUAUAAUUAAAAAAUACUUUUUGAAAUUGUUUUUAAAAUUUUAUUUUUUAUUUUAGUAUUUAUUUUUUAUAAAAUUUUAAACUCUAAUUCCAAAACCCCAUCCCUUAACUCUAAACCCUAAGGUUUGGAUUAAUUAACCCAAGGGGUAUAAGUGUAUAUUUACCUCUUUAAUGAAACCUAUUUUUGUGACUUUGAACCUUGAGUGCUACUUUGGGAACAAAAACUUAGUUUGGUGCUAUUCUAGUCUUUUUCUCAUGUUUUAACUGAUUUAUCUUUUUAAAUAAUUAUAUAUUAAUAAAAUAUUAAAAUUGAAUUUAAAUAUCUAACCAUAUUUUAAUAACUAAAAAAAAUUGAGAAUUUGAAAUGAACAAAAAGAGAAAAAAAAAAUCAAAGAAUCAGACAAUUAGAUACAUACACUUAUAUAGCCGACUCUUACAUAAACGGUGUGAAUAAAAUGUAAAACAUCUCUAAAAAAAUAUCGAAGAAAGAAAGCCCAAAUAGCCGAAACUUUUUUCUUUCUUCCUUUUUAUUUUUAUUUGAUAUCGUUAUAUCGGGUUAGGGUCUCGAUUUUAUUUUCCAAUUUUGAUUUGCCCUUUUGUGUUUUUUUUUUCUGUCGACUUAUUGAUGCAGAGAAAUAUUUAGAUAUAUUCCAAAUAUUUUUAUUAUCUAGUUUAUACUUAUUUUAAUAUUUAUCUUAAUUAGUUAGAAUUAUCUUAAAAAUUUUUAAUAAUUUUAUAGUUAUUUAGUUUUCAUAUAAAUAGGCAUCUUAGACUAAAUAAAAAUCUUUGUAAUUAUAGUAGCUUCUGCUACCUCAGGUAGUAUCAGAGUUGGUAUUUUGGUUUCUUAAUGUUGAAGGGAAACAUUUAUUUUUCGCAAAAGAAAAUUUGUUUUCUGAAAGUGAAAACACCGUUUAUAUCAAUGUUGUUGGCGAUCCAAUAUUCGAUGUCUAUGAUGAUGUUGUUCUGAAAGAGAAAGACGCUCAUGUUAAAAAUUAUAUUUGUGACGAUGAUGAAAACAAUUUCAUCAAAAUUGCAAGGAUCAGCGAUGGGCAUGUGGUGGCUGUCUCGGAAGAUGGAACUACUACCAAGAAUUUCCAUAUCAUAUCGACGAAAUAAGACGUCAUGUAUCAGUGUUUUUAAAUCUGAACCGAACUGGCGAUCAGACCAGGUUAAACCAUGAACCAAAAAUAAUCUAAAAACCCUUAUCGAACCGUCAAAAAUCCAGAAACCGACGGCUCAAUUAACCAGCCAAACCCCGGUUCGUAUAUAAGCCAAAAUUUGUUAUUAAUUUUUCUUUUUUUAAAGUAAAAAUAAGAUUUAUCAAAGAUUAAUAAAGUAUAGUCUCUCGUCUUUUUGUUUUGUCUUCUUUAGAACUCAUAAAUUACAAGAUUCACAAAGUUUAAUAUUCACGUCAAGAUAUUGUUUUGUCUACUUCUCAUUUUUUAAAAAAAAAUUAUUUCAUGAUCACUUAUUUUGAAGACUUUAAAUCAUUGAAACAUUUUCGUUUUUGAAAUUUGUAUUUCAAAAUAUAACUUUUACCUAAUGUGUAUAUAAUUUUUUUUAAAGGUGAUGAAGAUGUAGAGUGAUAAGAUCUACGAAUAAAGUUUAAAUGUGCUUUCCAUAUUGUUUUAUGAUUUUAAUUUUUUUUUUUGUUUUUCUACACAUUAUGACUAUUUAAACAUUUUAUUUGAUAUGAUAUAUUUUUUUAAAAAAAUAUGCAUAUUAUUUAUAAAAUAUCAUUAAAUUUAGUUUAAUCUAAAUAAAUUCGAUCGAACCCGGUUCAGAUCCGGUCGAAUUACAAUGAGCCAUGACCCAAAACAAUUCCGGUUCGCUUGCCGGUCCAGUUUUAAAAACACUGUCACGUAUAUAUUCAACAGCACUAGAAGCCAAUCAGAUGUGUUUCCUUGGGGUUUUGGAGUAAAAAAGGAGGUUUCAUGCAAAUUAUGGAAAUUUUGGCUAAAGGCAAUACAUGUCGUAUAAUUUGUUUGGAGAUGAAUAAAUAAGAAGGUGAAGAGAUACAAAUGGAAGAGAUGCAAAAUAAUAACAUUUCAUGUGAAGAUUUCAAAUCUGGUUUUGGGGUUGAAGAUCACAGUUAAGAUUCAAGGACAAAUCUUCUCUAACCCGGAAAGAAUGAUACAGAGAGAUAUUUGGAUAUAUUCUACAUAUUUUUAUUAUCUAGUUUACAAUUAUUUUAGUAUUUAUAUUAAUUAGUUAGAAUUAUCUUAAGAAUUUUUAAUAGUUUUUUAUUGUUAUUUAAUUUUCAUAUCAAUAGAGGUCUUAGACCAUACGCAACGCGGGUUGUUAGGUAUUUCUUAGCGCUAAUCCUUAGGGAAAUUUGGAAUAAAAACGAUUAUUAAAUUAGGUUAAGCUAAGAAAGAAUCCUUACCUAAGGAUUUUUCGGCUUUGGUCCUAGAUGAGCUGGCAACACCUGAUUCGUGCGGAGAAGCGUUGUGUUUCGUAUAGCGAAAGUCAAACUUUCAUUUACGCGACUCGAUCUGAAUAAAAAACCUCUACAUCUCUCCAGGCGAAGGCAAAGGCGAUUCGUCGAUCCGCGUCGUUGAAGGUAAAGCCGACCGUUUAAACUCAUUAUUUUUUCUUAUGGAGUUGAUGCAUGUUGAUUUCAUCAGUUUUUAGGGAUCCGAUUGGGGGAUUUGAAUAGCUUUCGGCCUUGAAAUCGAAUUGGGGAUUUAAUUCGAAUUAGGGUUUCCAUCUGGGUUUGCUUUUCUCUUCUUUUCGAUAAGCUUCUUUGUUGUUUCGUCGCGAUUACGGGUUCGGGUUUGAGUGUAAAUCGAUUUAGGGUUUUAUAAAUCGAUUUAGGGUUUUCUAAUUUGGGGAUUUUGAUUCGAUUAUAUUUUUUUGUUCUUGUAGGUUCUAAAUGGAGGAAGAAAUGCGAGAUAUGAAAGCACACAAAGCAUACUACAACAUGCUUCAUUUCGUUUCAGAAGCCCAACAUGGAAUUCCCAAGUUGUGCCCCCGUGGAUCUAUCACGAAGGAGUUCGUCGACGAAGAGGAUUCAUAUGACUACCUCCCCGGGAAAAGAUACUUCAUCUGCAAAGACUACCAGGUUCAAAAUGUUCUGUCUCUUUAUACUCCAUAUUGAUUUUCUGUUUGAUUAAUCAUUUAAUGUUUUCGCAGAAUGACGGGAUGCAUUUCAGGCAACCAUGGGUUAUGGGUGUGCAACAAGAGUUUGAGAGGCUCAAACAUCGCAUGAUGGAGCAGGAGAAGCUUCAGCUAGAGUGCGAGGCGCUUAAGGUUAGUUUAUAAGUUAAUGUUCAUUGGUGUUUGUACAAUCUUUCUAACACAUUGUUUGUUUUCUGUGAUGUCUCUUCAGUACCAGGUUAAGAUGCUUCUUCAGCGUGUGUCUGAACUUGAGAAAGUCCGCUGAGGUUAGUGUUUUGAACUGUGUCUCCUUGUAGUUUAAUUUUGAGAACAAAGUAGGAUAGUGCAUGUGUCUCCUUGUAGUUUGAGUUCAAAGUAGGACCGUCUGUGUGUAACUUUGUUGAAACUAGGAUCGUGCGUGUUUCUCCUUGCAGUUUGAAAACAAACUAGGAUUGUACUGGUUAACGUUCUAGUUUGAAACUAAACUUAACUUCGUAGUUUAAAUGCACACCAAACCACCACUAAAUUAUUCCUUAACUGCUUCUUUUAGACUAAAACAUUAAUUUUAUUGUCGUGAGCUGUUUUGAUAUGACAGUUUCCUACUAGGCUUCAAUGCUGUUAAUGUAGAAUCCUUUAUUUAAUCCUCUGUGUUUCUACUAGAGAAACACAGACUUCUUCCUAAAUGGCAAAUAACAAUGGUUAUGUUAACUUAUUAGCGAGCCAAGGGUCAAUUGACUUUGGCUCAUCACAACCUUUUUUCUUUACCGGUCAAAGUAGUGAUGAGUCUAGUGUCAAAGAGAGGAGAAAGUGGACACCGAAGGAGGAUUUAAUCCUCAUAGGUGCGUGGCUCAACACCAGCAAAGACCCAAUAGUGAGCAACGAACAAAAAGCUGGUGCCUUCUGGAAGAGAAUUGUAGAGUACUACAAUUCUAGUCCUCUCCUGGUUGGGACUAUCCCACGAGAACUUGGGCAAUGCAAGCAAAGAUGGGCUCGGAUCGACGAUUUGGUAUGUAAGUUUGCUGGCUGCUACGACAUGGCACUGAGGGAGCAGACAAGCGGGCAAAAUGACAACGAUGUGAUGAAGUCUGCCUUGGAUAUCUUCCACAGUGACCAGAACCAGAAGUUCAACUUGGAACACGCGUGGAGGGAGCUUAGGCAUGAUGUGAAAUGGUGCUCCACCAACCUUGAGAAAGAAAAGCGCAAACCAGUGGAUCCUGUUGCGAACGAAGGGUCAGUGCCAGAGCCAGAAGAGAGACCAAUUGGAGUGAAGGCUGCGAAGGCUGCUAAAAAGAGAAAGAAAACUGGAAAAGAAGAAGAAUUGGCAAAGCUUGAGAAUUUGUUGGAAAUAAAAAAACAAAUCUCAAAGGAAAGUUUGCUAGAGAGUUUGCUUGCAAAGCCCGAGCCUCUCUCUGAGAUGGAAUCAGCUCUCAAAAUAAAACUUAUGUCUGCUUUGUUGUAGGGUUUGUUAGCUCUAACCUUAGUUUGCCUAUGUCUACUUUACAAUGUGUGCAUUAGACUAGUUUACGAUGUUUGCAUUAGACUAGCUUAGAUGUUUGCAUUAGACUACUUUACGAUGAUAACCUCUGCUUACACACGUGAUUUUGCUCUGUUUCAGGUGAAGUACAAGACCAUGUGCUUGUUGAAGACAAAAGCUGGUAUCUCUUCUCUCUUCAGUCACGGGUGGUUUGUCUCUUUCUCCUUGUAUUUCGAUGUGAACCAAGUCACGGGUGUAUUUGUAUCUUUCUCUUUGUAUUUUCAUGUGAACCAAGUCGUGUACCAUGUUGCCUUUAUAAGUCUGUUUAUGUGAACGAAGUCCUUUGUGCUUCUUCUUCCUUGUAUUGUCUCAAACCGGAUGUAAUGAUGUUUUAGUGUAUUCUAUUUCCUUUGCUCUUCUUCUCCUUGUACAACCUACUUACAAACGAAAUACUCAACCUUCAAAAACUUAAGCAAACUUAAGCAAACGAACCAAGUCGUUGUUGCCAAUCUCCACACGCCUUGAUCGCUGAGACGAGACGUUCAUCCUCUCAUCCCACGACAUAAAACCAUCCUCUCAUCACACGCCUUGUUUCUGUAAGCAUUAGUUUUUGAAAUAGUUUUGCGAAGUAGAAGCCUGUUUACGGUUUACGGUUUGGUCUCCAAUUCAAUUUAUGGGCAUUAUGGUUUUCGAAAUAAGCACAAAGAAGGAUAGUGUGGUUAUUUCCCCUGAGAAAUCACUAUACUAUUUAAUUAAACUCACUUCCACAAAAGUUUUAUUUAUUUAUUUGAUAUAUGUAAAAUUCUACUUUUUACAAGUGAGUGUAUUACGUGACUAAUUAACCCUUUCCUAAUACUAUUAUAUAACAAUUAUCAGCUGAUGACUUUAGUAAUAUAAAUUACGAUUAAUGCAAUUCAAAAAAAUAAUACCAAAAGAAAGUUUAUAAUAAAUAAGUUUAAUAUAAUGUUAAGAGUUCUAAAACGUGUGCCUUGAAAAAUCAGUUUUGAAAGAAGGAUAGGCAAAUAUGGCAGAUGAAGUCGACCGAAGACUCGAUGCGGCUGUCAAUGAGGCUUUUGAUGAAUAUUUUGAAGACACAUACAACAGCAUCAUGGAGAAUCGAACAAAUAAAAAGAAGAAACGUGCAUAUGUCGAACAAAACCGCGAAGCGGGCCACAACCGUCUAUGGAAUGACUAUUUUAGUGAAAAUCCGUCAUUUCCAGAAAAUUUAUUCAGACGUCGUUUUCGCAUGAACAAGCAAGUAUUCAUGCGUAUUAUCGACACCCUCUCAGCAAAUGUUCCAUUCUUUCAGCAAAGGAGAGAUGCAGUCGGACGGUUGGGUCUAUCUACACUACAAAAGUGUACGGCGGUUAUUCGUAUGCUUGCUUAUGGCUGUGCGGCUGACGCCGUCGACGAGUAUCUCCGACUCGGUGAAAGCACCGCACUUUCAUGUUUAACCCAUUUCACAGAUGCUGUAAUUCUAUUAUUUGGAGAAGAAUAUCUACGGAGACCCAAUCCUGAGGAUCUUCAACGUUUACUCAAUAUUGGAGAGAUCCGCGGCUUUCCGGGGAUGAUUGGAAGCAUCGACUGUAUGCAUUGGGAGUGGAAAAAUUGCCCAACCGCUUGGAAAGGACAAUACACACGUGGAUCAGGAAAGCCGACACUUGUUUUGGAGGCUGUGGCGUCACAAGAUCUUUGGAUAUGGCACGCUUAUUUCGGUUCUCCAGGUACCUUAAAUGAUAUUAACGUCCUUGAUCGAUCACCUGUAUUUGAUGACAUUUAUCAAGGUCGAGCUCCAAGGGUAACGUACAUAGUCAACGGACACCAGUAUGAUUUGGCGUACUACCUCACGGACGGUAUAUAUCCAAAAUGGUCAACAUUUAUCCAAUCUAUCACACUCCCUCAAGGUCCUAAAGCAGAGUUAUUUGCUAAAGUUCAAGAAGCUACCCGAAAAAAUGUGGAGCGUGCUUUUGGUGUAUUGCAAGCUCGAUUUGCGAUAGUGAAAAACCCGGCGCUGUCAUUGGACAAGGAAAAAAUAGGGAAGAUUAUGAGAGCAUAUAUCAUACUGCAUAAUAUGAUUGUCGAAAAUGAACGGGGUGGAUACACUCUGUACGAUACAUCUGAAUUUGAAGAAGGAGACUCGAGCAGAAGUUCACAUGUUGAGCAUAUUAACAACAUGCCUACCCAUUUCGGUAAUAUGCUUGGUCUACGGAAUCAUGUUCGAGAUAGGCGUACACACAAAGCAUUGAAAAAUGAUUUAAUCGAAAAUAUUUGGAACAAGUUUGGUGAUGAUGAAGAUGUAUAAUUAUCGUAUGUUUGCUUUUAAUCAUUGAAUAAAAAAAAUUUUAAAUUAAUUUUUUUUUAAAUUUAAUAAUUUUAAAUUCUUAAAGACUUCAUUUUGAGUAACACCAUUGGGCAUACAUUUUAGACUCAAAUCCUUAACUAUUCAAAAAACAAAAAAAAAAUACUAUUAUAAUCCUAAGGACUCCAAUGGUGGGUAACACCAUUGGAGUUGCUCUUAUAUGCUUAUGAGACGGGAAACAUAAUGGAUAGAUUCUCGAACUAGAAAUCCUUCUUGCGGAUUCGAAGUAAGGGAAUACACAGACCUAGAAGAUGAUCGUAAGGAUAGAAAGAUCACCUCGAAGAAUUGUGGUUUCUUCGGAAGCGCUUCCACAAUGAACAUGUGUUCCAAGUGUCAAAACCGAAGGAAGGACCAACCCGAUGUGCUACUUGCAAGAAACGGGUUGGUCUGACUGGAUUCAAAUGUCGCAGUGGUGACCUCUUCUGCGGGACACACCGCUAUGCAGACAUACAUAACUGCUCCUUCAAUUACCAUGUCGCUGUGCAAGAACCUAUAGCUAAAGCAAAUCCAGUUGUGAAGGCAGAGAAGCUUGACAAAAUCUGAA